UCAGGAUGAUUUCACAGACUCAUUUGUUCUGGCUCCUAGUGCUCUGGAUUCAGGACUCCAAUGGGCAGAUUGUGAUGACUCAGACUCCAGAAUCCCUGGCAGUGUCUCCAGGAGACAGAGUCACCAUCAACUGCAAAGCCAGUUCCAGUGUUAGUAGCUACAUGGCCUGGUACCAACAGAAAUCAGGGCAGGCUCCUAAGCUCCUUAUCUACAGAGCUUCCAGCCGUCCCUCCGGAAUCCCAGACCGGUUCAGUGGCAGUGGGUCUGGCACCGACUUCACUUUUACAAUCAGCCGGGUCGAGGUGGAUGAUGCUGGAGAUUAUUAUUGUCAGCAGGGACAGAGCUUCCCUCUCACAGUGAUACAGACCAGUACAAAAACCUUUGUUCCAUCUCUGUUACUCGAUGUAACAGCUGUUUCCUACCCACUCCCAGAGCAGGCAAGCAUGUGCCAGAUUUUGGGCAACUUUUGA
Caretta caretta (loggerhead turtle) is the source of this 470-nucleotide non-coding RNA. NCBI's taxonomy places the organism in Eukaryota, Metazoa, Chordata, Testudines, Cheloniidae. The record is from the annotation of a RefSeq genome assembly.